GCCUCCAUAGCAUAGUGGUAUUGCGCUUGCUUCGUAAGCGAAAGGUCGCGAGUUCCAUCCUCGCUGGGGGCU
Molecule: transfer RNA, 72 nt
Filed under: Nicotiana sylvestris (wood tobacco)
Lineage: Eukaryota; Viridiplantae; Streptophyta; Magnoliopsida; Solanales; Solanaceae
Rfam family: tRNA
About the family: Transfer RNA (tRNA) molecules are approximately 80 nucleotides in length.
Source: Rfam by way of RNAcentral